UACGAAGGGUGGAAGCGUUCAUCGGAAUUACUGGGCGUAAAGCGUGCGUAGACGGCCUUUUAAGUCUGCUGUGAAAGCCCUGGGCUCAACCUGGGAACUGCAGUGGAUACUGUGAGGCUGGAGUGCGGUAGAGGAUGGUGGAAUUCCCGGUGUAGCGGUGAAAUGCGUAGAGAUCGGGAGGAACAUCAGUGGCGAAGGCGGCCAUCUGGGCCAGCACUGACGUUGAGGCACGAAAGCGUGGGGAGCAAACAGG
Molecule: ribosomal RNA, 253 nt
Filed under: uncultured bacterium
Lineage: Bacteria
Description: partial 16S ribosomal RNA
Rfam family: Bacterial small subunit ribosomal RNA
Source: RNAcentral